CGAACCGCGCAAUGCGCUUCUUCUGCCUGCAGCAGAGAAAAGGAAAGAAAACUCCGCAGGGGCUCCGUUGGCUUCUCCACGAGUGACAACCAUGUUUUCCCAGAUAGAAGACCGGAGCCCUGCUCCUUUGCGAUCCGCCGAGGGCUGCAGAGAGCAUCCUCAUCCAUUUGGGCACCCCUGCCCAGGAAGAGCCCGGCCAUCCCUUUCCGGACUGGAUCCUUAAGAGGUGAAUUUUCUUCCGUGGAUUCCGAUUUGCUCCGUCUGACCAGCCUAGGCAAUCCAGCAUCGCGUGGUACCAGUGCCGCUGGGCACACUGGCUUCACGCCGGCUCCGCCUCACCAGCAAGCGCAUUCCCAGGUGGUCAGGCUCAGGAUGGACCAUGAGCUUUCAAAAAGGAAAAAGGUGGAAAUCCUCAACUAUGCUGCCAUCUGAAUAAGUGUUUCUUUGUAGAUGCACAGAGUCAAGGAAAAUUACAUCCCUGCAUUAUGUAAUGUACCAACAACGCACUUACCCACUGUUUUAAUCUAGGUUAUUCUUGAAAGCAGAGCCUGAGACAAAGGUAGACACAUUCUAUUUAUGAGUCUAACACCCAGGAGCAGGAAUGAGAGAUAGGGGAGUGAACUGGGGAAAAGGGAAACUAAGUCCGAGCAAAACCAGAUACUGCUCUUAUCAAGUGGUCCACCCCUAUUAAUGGCUACAUAAUGCAGAACUUUCUCAGGAUUCUUCUUAAACUUUAUCUCAGAACUGUCUGCCUCAGGGAGAAAGGAGAAGUAUUUCUCCAUCAGCAGCCACCUCCUGUGUGUUGAGGGCUGCUCCUUUGGGGCAUUAACCCACUGCCUCCACCACCCCAACCCUCUGGGCUGCAAAGAGCUAGCUGACAGUCCAGCUGGUACCUUAGCAUCACACAUUGCUGCAUCAGAGAGGUCUUAAGACAGGAAGCUAGAGUCUUGGUGCAUGCUCGAAGUGAGACGGUGUCAGCACAGAGCAGGGUAAAAUCUUCCCGUUAACUCUUCACCAGAGCUAUGACUGGAAUCAGAGGUUGAAAAGAUGUGAGACUGUACCCAAGAAGCAUCUUAUAAGCCUACGUAAUAUACUGUUAGACUCAUCGAAAUCUAUUUCCUCCCUUCUUUAUAAUCAAAACUUCAGUGUCCAGAAUAAAGUUGGCAGAAGGGUUAAAUUGGAAAGUUAAAUGUACUAGAAGGUGUACAUUUAUAAGUUUUGACCUUGAGUCGUGUUCAAGGAGAAAGUGACAUUGGAACUUGGAAAAUUUAAAAAUGAUUCUACUUGAAAAAUUUGACCAUUGCAUAGAAAUAUUAGCUAUCGUCUAAUCUUUUGUAAUCUUAGAAACAAUCGUGAAUUGUUUGGUGAAAAAUGAAAAAAUAACCAUUUCUUAUGUCUCCGUGACCUUUAUAGACCAAUGUCACCAACUUUUCCUAAGGUAAUUGUUUCCUACUGUCAAAUAGCUCUAGUGAUAUAAAUCUUAACAAUCAAUGAAGGGAAAACUGGUGGAAACAUAGGAGGAAAAAUACUGGGAUAAUUUUCAUCACAAAGUAUUGGCAUUAACAUUGGUUAGAAUAGGGGAGAAACUGCAUGACUUGACAACUGGACAUUCCUGUAUGUUGUAUGAGGCCCUGUCUUAACAGAAAUAGUGAUGUCAUCAUCAUCCUCUCUUAUUUGGUCUUGAAUUGCCACCAAUCGGAUAAAACCUUUGAAUUAUUUAACUCAAUAUAUGUUAAGUUUCUACUAUGUGCUGUGUAUUGGUACUAUAAAUAUGAAUAAGACAUAAGAUAUUACAUUCAAAAACAUCAGAAUACAUGUUCUUUUAAAGUAUACCCCAAAACAUUUACCAUGUGUUCUGGGGCGCAUGUUAGGCUGGAUCACAAAUCAAGUCUCAAGAAUUUCAAAAGAUUGAAAUCAUAUAGAGUAUGAAUUAAACCAGAAAUCAAGUACAUAAAGGUAACAAAAAAUUUCCAAAAUGCAUUAAUUUAAGGAACAUACACCUCAUGACCCAUGAGCCAAAAAAUAAAUCACGGCAAAAUUGCAAAAAUAUUUUGAAAUGAAUUUUAAAGAAAAUACUUAGCAUAUUAAAUACUUAGCAUAUUAAAGCUCUAAGUACAUAUGUUAGAAAUUUUACCGAAAGGUUGGCUAUCAGUGUUUCCAGAAGCCAGGGAAAAAGUUUAUACAAUUUGAUCGCUGAGGCAGGGAAACAAAGUGAGACCUCCGAUCGCCCUGCCUUUCUGAGGUGAGCACUCUGGAUCCCAUCGCAGGAGAUCAGAGUCUUGCUGAGUUGAGGAGAGGAAGAUUGGAGUUGAUACUGAGAUAGCUUGAAUUUUCAGGACAAAGUAUCAACAAGGAGGAAGGUAGACAAAAAAAUCCAGAAAUCUAUGUAGAGACCCCAUUGUGUACAUUGCGGAACACUAAGCCUAACAAUUCUCAAAAUUAGCGUGAGAUUGGGAAAUAUCUAAUUUCCAUCCAGCCACAGUGGAGAGUCCUGACUGAAAACCAGGCAUUCGCUAAAGAUCCCAGAAAGGUUGUGUGUUACAUACGUAGGGCUAAACUAUCCUGACUAAAAACUACACUACACUUGCUCCUCACCCCCACAAAAAGCUUAAAAACAAGCCUCAAUAGUAUAAAGCUGAUCUGUAAGUAACUAAACUACCUGCAGAACAAAGUCCAAAUUUAUUAGUUCCAGUACUCCAAAAAAAACACAUGUAAAAAAAAAAUAGAUUUACAAGACAUUUAUUUGGGGAAAAAAAGAAUGCCUGAGGGUUGAAAUGGAGAGGAAGCCAGAGAGACAGAGUCCUCAGAAUACAUAAAAUUUCUGGCCUCCAUGGAGGUGUGAUGGUUAAUUUUAUGCAUGUCAACUUCGCUGGGCCACAGGAUGCCCCAUAUAUGAUCGAACAUUAUUUCUGGUUGUGUUCAUGAAGCUUUUUCUGGAGGAAAUUCGCAUUUGAAUUGAUGGACUGAAUAAAGCAGAUUGCAGUCCCCAGUGUGGAUGGGCUUGAUCCAGUCUUCUAAGGACCCAAAUAAAAUAGGUGGAGGAAGCUUGAAUUUUCUGCCUGACUGUGGCGCUGGGACACCCAUCUUCUCCUGCCCUUGAACUGGGACUGACACCAUCAGUGCUCCUGGUUCUCAGACCUUCGGACAGCAGACUUGGGGCCUUCUCGGCCUCCAUUAUUGUCUGCUUUUAGAUAUUUAACGGGAGAGGAAAAGAG
RNAcentral lists this long non-coding RNA (3215 nucleotides) under Homo sapiens (human). RNAcentral describes it as "non-protein coding DUBR:11". Lineage: Eukaryota; Metazoa; Chordata; Mammalia; Primates; Hominidae. The record is from RNAcentral.